ACGAAGACCCUUCAGCGGCAACAGCAGCUUCCUUGGUAGUGUGUGCAGCCUGUUUCUUGUAUUGGCUGCUCUAAGGGACCUUGGAGAUAGGC
Molecule: small nucleolar RNA, 92 nt
Filed under: Aotus nancymaae (Ma's night monkey)
Lineage: Eukaryota; Metazoa; Chordata; Mammalia; Primates; Aotidae
Description: Small nucleolar RNA SNORA70 (ENSANAG00000010528.1)
Rfam family: Small nucleolar RNA SNORA70
About the family: snoRNA U70 seems to be exclusive to mammals and is a member of the H/ACA class of snoRNA which contain H (ANANNA) and ACA box motifs.
Source: RNAcentral